GACGAACGCUGGCGGCGUGCUUAACACAUGCAAGUCGAACGGAAAGGCCCUGCUUUUGUGGGGUGCUCGAGUGGCGAACGGGUGAGUAACACGUGAGUAACCUGCCCUUGACUUUGGGAUAACUUCAGGAAACUGGGGCUAAUACCGGAUAGGAGCUCCUGCUGCAUGGUGGGGGUUGGAAAGUUUCGGCGGUUGGGGAUGGACUCGCGGCUUAUCAGCUUGUUGGUGGGGUAGUGGCUUACCAAGGCUUUGACGGGUAGCCGGCCUGAGAGGGUGACCGGCCACAUUGGGACUGAGAUACGGCCCAGACUCCUACGGGAGGCAGCAGUGGGGAAUAUUGCACAAUGGGCGGAAGCCUGAUGCAGCAACGCCGCGUGCGGGAUGACGGCCUUCGGGUUGUAGCCCGAUUUCGCCUGUGACGAAGCGUGAGUGACGGUAAUGGGUAAAGCAGCACCGGCUAACUACGUG
Molecule: ribosomal RNA, 468 nt
Filed under: uncultured bacterium
Lineage: Bacteria
Description: partial 16S ribosomal RNA
Rfam family: Bacterial small subunit ribosomal RNA
Source: RNAcentral